This 1005-nucleotide ribosomal RNA is filed under the name uncultured bacterium. Its description in RNAcentral is "bacterial SSU rRNA". It matches the Rfam family "Bacterial small subunit ribosomal RNA", at positions 356 to 1376 of the family's 1533-position model. The record is from RNAcentral.
GGGGAAUAUUGCACAAUGGGGGAAACCCUGAUGCAGCGACGCCGCGUGGAGGAAGAAGGUCUUCGGAUUGUAAACUCCUGUUGUUGAGGAAGAUAAUGACGGUACUCAACAAGGAAGUGACGGCUAACUACGUGCCAGCAGCCGCGGUAAAACGUAGGUCACAAGCGUUGUCCGGAAUUAUUGGGCGUAAAGGGCUCGUAGGCGGUUCGUCGCGUCCGGUGUGAAAGUCCAUCGCUUAACGGUGGAUCCGCGCCGGGUACGGGCGGGCUUGAGUGCGGUAGGGGAGACUGGAAUUCCCGGUGUAACGGUGGAAUGUGUAGAUAUCGGGAAGAACACCAAUGGCGAAGGCAGGUCUCUGGGCCGUCACUGACGCUGAGGAGCGAAAGCGUGGGGAGCGAACAGGAUUAGAUACCCUGGUAGUCCACGCCGUAAACGGUGGAUGCUGGAUGUGGGGACCAUUCCACGGUCUCCGUGUCGGAGCCAACGCGUUAAGCAUCCCGCCUGGGGAGUACGGCCGCAAGGCUAAAACUCAAAGAAAUUGACGGGGGCCCGCACAAGCGGCGGAGCAUGCGGAUUAAUUCGAUGCAACGCGAAGAACCUUACCUGGGCUUGACAUGUUCCCGACAGCCGUAGAGAUACGGUCUCCCUUCGGGGCGGGUUCACAGGUGGUGCAUGGUCGUCGUCAGCUCGUGUCGUGAGAUGUUGGGUUAAGUCCCGCAACGAGCGCAACCCUCGCCCUGUGUUGCCAGCACGUCGUGGUGGGAACUCACGGGGGACCGCCGGGGUCAACUCGGAGGAAGGUGGGGAUGACGUCAGAUCAUCAUGCCCCUUACGUCCAGGGCUUCACGCAUGCUACGAUGGCCGGUACAACGGGAUGCGACACCGCGAGGUGGAGCGGAUCCCUUAAAACCGGUCUCAGUUCGGAUUGGAGUCUGCAACCCGACUCCAUGAAGGCGGAGUCGCUAGUAAUCGCGGAUCAGCAACGCCGCGGUGAAUGCGUUCCCG